AGCCGCCGCGGUAAGACGUAGGAUGCAAGCGUUGUCCGGAUUUAUUGGGCGUAAAGAGUUCGUAGGCGGUUUGUUAAGUCUGAUGUUAAAGACCGGGGCUCAACCUCGGAAAUGCAUUGGAUACUGGCAGACUGGAGUGCAGUAGAGGCUAGUGGAAUUCCCAGUGUAGCGGUGAAAUGCGUAGAUAUUGGGAAGAACACCGGUGGCGUAGGCGACUAGCUGGGCUGUAACUGACGCUGAGGAACGAAAGCCAGGGGAGCAAAUGGGAUUAGAUACCCCAGUAGUCCUGGCCGUAAACGAUGGAUACUAGGCGUAGUGGGUAUCGACCCCUGCUGUGCCGCAGCUAACGCGAUAAGUAUCCCGCCUGAGUAGUACGGCCGCAAGGUUGAAACUCAAAGGAAUUGACGGGGGCCCGCACAAGCGGUGGAACAUGUGGUUUAAUUCGAAGCAACGCGAAGAACCUUACCAGGGCUUGACAUCUGUGGAAUCUUUCGGAAACGAGAGAGUGCUCGCAAGAGAGCCACAAGACAGGUGGUGCAUGGCUGUCGUCA
RNAcentral lists this ribosomal RNA (551 nucleotides) under uncultured bacterium. RNAcentral's name for it is "bacterial SSU rRNA". It matches the Rfam family "Bacterial small subunit ribosomal RNA", at positions 510 to 1057 of the family's 1533-position model. The record is from RNAcentral.